Molecule: non-coding RNA, 876 nt
Organism: Arachis ipaensis
Lineage: Eukaryota; Viridiplantae; Streptophyta; Magnoliopsida; Fabales; Fabaceae
Source: RefSeq, a predicted model, not a curated record
AUAUAGCUUUAUAUGUCUCUAAGUCAGUCUAACUACCUCUAAAUCUUUUUUUUACUUUACUCUAUAUAGUUCUUCCUUGUUUCUUUGAACAUUACUGUUGAGAGAAAAAAAAAAUGUUAGAAUCUGUGGUGGAGUUCAUAACUGAAGCAGCUUCAAGCACUUGUUUCAUCUUCUGUUUCUGCAAUUUGAUCUUCAUACUCAUUAUCCUUGUGGACUUGAAGCCAAGCCUCAUAAGUUUUGAUCAACAAAAAAUUGAUCAACUCCAUCAUCAUAUUCAUCAUCACCCCAUCAACACAGGUACACAAGGAACAACAACUUCCAAGUUUCUACUCAGCAAAAACAAACCAACUCAACAAGAUGAACCUGAAAAUGCAGAAGAGAAGAAAACAGAAUCUGAAGGUAAUAAUGAUGAUGGUUUUGGUAAUAUGGAAGAGGAAGAAGAGGUUGAAGGGAAGGAUGAUGAGCUGAGGAGAAAGGUGGAAGAGUUUAUAGAGAGAGUUAACAAAGGUUGGAAAGCUGAAUAUUUUAGCACAUAAAUAAUAAUAAUAAUGUUUAUUUGUUGUGGGAAAUUUUCAUUAUUAAUUAGGCCUAAUUAAGGUUGGAGUAUCAUGAGAAAUCUUAUAGUAUUACACUAUUACUUACUAGUUUGUUCUUUAGUUUUUUUAAACAUUUUUAAUUAGAAUGCUUAUGAAAUUAAGAUUUUAGAGGAAAUUAAGUUGUUUAGGAGUGCCUUGAAGGUUUCUGUUGAACAAAAAAUGAAGCCAAUCGUGAUGAAAAUAUUAUGACUACAUUUUAUUUAUGUGUUUGUUUUUAAUGAAGAACUUGACUACUUGUCUACUUCAGAUUCAGCACAGAAAAGGUAGCAAAAAAGAAAGG